UCCUUUGUGUCUCAGCUGGUAAAGAAUCCACCUGCAAUGUAGGAGACCUGGGUUUGAUCCCUGCUUGGGAA
Molecule: transfer RNA, 71 nt
Filed under: Capra hircus (goat)
Lineage: Eukaryota; Metazoa; Chordata; Mammalia; Artiodactyla; Bovidae
Also listed under: 1 other name
Rfam family: tRNA
About the family: Transfer RNA (tRNA) molecules are approximately 80 nucleotides in length. Their secondary structure includes four short double-helical elements and three loops (D, anti-codon, and T loops).
Source: Rfam by way of RNAcentral